RNAcentral lists this transfer RNA (73 nucleotides) under Candidatus Woesearchaeota archaeon. Its description in RNAcentral is "tRNA-Gln". It matches the Rfam family "tRNA". Rfam says of the family: Transfer RNA (tRNA) molecules are approximately 80 nucleotides in length. Their secondary structure includes four short double-helical elements and three loops (D, anti-codon, and T loops). Further hydrogen bonds mediate the characteristic L-shaped molecular structure. tRNAs have two regions of fundamental functional importance: the anti-codon, which is responsible for specific mRNA codon recognition, and the 3' end, to which the tRNAs corresponding amino acid is attached (by aminoacyl-tRNA synthetases). tRNAs cope with the degeneracy of the genetic code in two manners: having more than one tRNA (with a specific anti-codon) for a particular amino acid; and 'wobble' base-pairing, i.e. permitting non-standard base-pairing at the 3rd anti-codon position. Lineage: Archaea; Nanobdellati; Candidatus Woesearchaeota. The record is from RNAcentral.
AGCCCCGUAGUGUAGCGGUCAAUCAUUCAGCCCUCUGGAGGCUGAGACCUCGGUUCGAAUCCGGGCGGGGCUA